Macaca fascicularis (crab-eating macaque) is the source of this 275-nucleotide unclassified non-coding RNA. It matches the Rfam family "Metazoan signal recognition particle RNA". Rfam says of the family: The signal recognition particle (SRP) is a universally conserved ribonucleoprotein. NCBI's taxonomy places the organism in Eukaryota, Metazoa, Chordata, Mammalia, Primates, Cercopithecidae. The record is from Ensembl.
GGCAGGCGUAGUGCUCAUGCCUCUAAUCCCAGCACUUUGGGAGGCUGAGGUGGGUAGGUCACUUGAGGUCAGGAGUUCGAGACCAGCCUGACCAACAUGGUAAAACCCUGUCUCUACUAAAAAUGCAAAAUUAGCUGGGCUUGGUGGUGCACACCUCUAAUCCCAGCAACUUGGGAGGCUGAAGCUAAUUUUGCAUUUUUAAGUAGAGACAGGGUUUUACCAUGUUGGCCAGGCUGGUCUCGAACUCCUGACCUCAAGUGACUUACCCACCUCAG